GAUGAACGCUGGCGGCGUGCCUAAGACAUGCAAGUCGAGUGGGUUUAGACCCACGGCGAACGGGUGAGUAAUACCUAGGAACUUCCCUUUAGUUGAGCAUAACCCAUCGAAAGGUGGGAUAAUUCUCGAUGUGACCGCAAGGUUAAAGUCGCAAGACGCUAAAGAAAAGGCCUGGGCACCAUCAGCUAGUUGGUAAGGUAAAAGCUUACCAAGGCUAUGACGGUUAGGGGCCCCGAGAGGGGAAACCUCCACACUGGAACUGCGACACGGUCCAGACUCCUACGGGAGGCAGCAGUUUGGAAUUUUGGACAAUGGGCGAAAGCCUGAUCCAGCGACGCCGCGUGGACGAUGAAGGCCUUCGGGUUGUAAAGUCCUUUUGCUAGGGAAGAAUUUUUGACUGUACCUAGCGAAUAAGAGGUUGCUAACUCUGUGCCAGCCGCCGCGGUAAUU
Molecule: ribosomal RNA, 450 nt
Filed under: uncultured bacterium
Lineage: Bacteria
Description: bacterial SSU rRNA
Rfam family: Bacterial small subunit ribosomal RNA
Source: RNAcentral